RNAcentral lists this ribosomal RNA (164 nucleotides) under uncultured bacterium. RNAcentral's name for it is "partial 16S rRNA". It matches the Rfam family "Bacterial small subunit ribosomal RNA", at positions 355 to 511 of the family's 1533-position model. The record is from RNAcentral.
UAGGGAAUCUUCCACAAUGGACGCAAGUCUGAUGGAGCAACGCCGCGUGAGUGAAGAAGGUUUUCGGAUCGUAAAGCUCUGUUGUUGGUGGAGAAGGAUAGAGGCAGUAACUGGUCUUUAUUUGACGGUAAUCAACCAGAAAGUCACGGCUAACUACGUGCCAC